Molecule: ribosomal RNA, 35 nt
Filed under: Pisolithus albus
Lineage: Eukaryota; Fungi; Basidiomycota; Agaricomycetes; Boletales; Pisolithaceae
Description: partial 28S ribosomal RNA
Source: RNAcentral
GAAGGCUUGACCUCAAAUCAGGAGGACUACCCCCU